Molecule: unclassified non-coding RNA, 346 nt
Filed under: soil metagenome
Description: partial contains 5.8S ribosomal RNA, internal transcribed spacer 2, and large subunit ribosomal RNA
Rfam family: 5.8S ribosomal RNA (bases 1-120)
Source: RNAcentral
GAUGAAGAACGCAGCGAAAUGCGAUACGUAAUGUGAAUUGCAGAAUUCAGUGAAUCAUCGAGUCUUUGAACGCACAUUGCGCCCGCUGGUAUUCCGGCGGGCAUGCCUGUUCGAGCGUCAUUUCAACCCUCAAACCCCCGGGUUUGGUGUUGGGGAUCGGCUCUGCCUCACGGCGGUGCCGCCCCCGAAAUACAUUGGCGGUCUCGCUGCAGCCUCCAUUGCGUAGUAGCUAACACCUCGCAACUGGAACGCGGCGCGGCCAUGCCGUAAAACCCCAACUUCUGAAUGUUGACCUCGGAUCAGGUAGGAAUACCCGCUGAACUUAAGCAUAUCAAUAAGCGGAGGA